This 940-nucleotide ribosomal RNA is filed under the name uncultured Neocallimastigales. Its description in RNAcentral is "partial large subunit ribosomal RNA". The stretch from base 158 to 940 matches the Rfam family "Eukaryotic large subunit ribosomal RNA", at positions 1 to 646 of the family's 3401-position model. The record is from RNAcentral. Lineage: Eukaryota; Fungi; Neocallimastigomycota; Neocallimastigomycetes; Neocallimastigales.
UACACGCUGUGACUAGCAUAUCAAUAAGCGGAGGAAAAGAGGAUGUACCUACGCUUAGGAUGUUGACGAGACUGUCGAUCUCAUCUAUACAUGACUCUGUGCAUAUCAAUAAGCGGAGGAAAAGUACUACCUACGCUUAGGAUGUUGACGAGACUGUCGAUCUCAUCUAUACAUGACUCUGUGCAUAUCAAUAAGCGGAGGAAAAGAAACUAACAAGGAUUCCCCUAGUAACGGCGAGUGAAGCGGGAAGAGCUCAAAUUUGAAAUCUUAAAGGGUUUCCCUUUACGAAUUGUAGUUUAAAGAAGUGUUUUCUGUUGAGGUUUUGGUAAAAGUUCUUUGGAAUAGGACAUCAUAGAGGGUGAGAAUCCCGUAUUUGACCUUUACUUUCAACUUUGUGAUACACUUUCAAAGAGUCGGAUUGUUUGGGAAUGCAGUCCAAAAUGGGUGGUAAAUUUCAUCUAAAGCUAAAUAUUGGCGAGAGACCGGUAGCGAACAAGUACCGUGAGGGAAAGAUGAAAAGAACUUUGAAAAGAGAGUUAAACAGUACGUGAAAUUGUCAAAAGGGAAGCGUUUGACACCAGUGUUGUUUUUCUGAAAAUCAAUUAAAGAACUGUUUAUGCUAAGUUGUUUAGACUUUAUCAGCUAUCUGUUUAGUUUUAGGCUUUUCUUUAAUGCACUUUUCAGUUAACAAGUCAACAUCAACUUCUUUUGCUGUAAAAAAGCUUGAGGAAGGUGGCUUGAGAUUCGUCUUAAGUGUUUAUAGCCUCUUGCCUAUGCAGUCGGAGAGAUUGAGGUCUGCAGCGUAGAUCCUUCGGGGCUAAAUGCAUUUGUGCUAAGUUAUAGCAUUUUAUAGACAACUUGUUGACUAUGAUUUGUCUUGUAGCUUACUCGCUUAUGUUAUUUUACCUACGCUUAGGAUGUUGACGAGACUGUCGAUCUC